Molecule: long non-coding RNA, 3079 nt
Organism: Puntigrus tetrazona (Sumatra barb)
Lineage: Eukaryota; Metazoa; Chordata; Actinopteri; Cypriniformes; Cyprinidae
Exons: 3
Source: RefSeq, a predicted model, not a curated record
CGUAAAAUAAAGCACACCGACCCAGAACGCUACUCUAGCAAGUAAAGCAAUAAAAAUAAAAAAAAACAGUUUUUUUUAAACAUCCGUAAAGUUUCAUGUGGCAUCUGCGCAUGGCAACUAGAGACACUCGCGCGCUCUCUAUGGAGGAUGCGGCGAGCUGAGAUGCUUAACGGAACCGGGAGAGCUCCGCCGUCGCCCGCCGCCGCCGCCGCACAAUUCCGCCUGCAGACAUCAACACGGCUGCGGAAUACACACAUACACACCCGUGGUCCUGACGCCCCGGUAAUGGCGGAUGAAAGGUAUUUGACGGGAUAUUUUGUCGCGAACGGGGAUUGUCCGAAGUUUUCUAAAAAGUUUCAUUUUAUUACCCACACCAAUCUCGAUUUGAAACUUCAAGAUCUCCUCGCAUCACACACAGGGUCAGACACGGAGCGCGUGCAGCAUGGCCGUGCAAUCCAUUUCAGGUGAGUGAGACAUUUAUAAAGCGCGUCCUCUAGGAAUGAAGGCGAGCGCGGAUGUCCUCUCCGUGAGCGCACGGACAUUUCAGACGCUACCUGUUUGAACGGUCUGAGAGCUCAACCUGUACGAAACCGUGCCGCGAUCGCGUAACGUGGCCGUUUAAUACGAUUAAACUAUUUAAACGGCGGGGAAAUGCGCGGUCAGGUCCUCUCACAGGGAGCGACCGAAAGGCAGGAGGAGAGGAAAAGAGUCCAGAAUGCCUCUUUCAUACUUCCGUUCGACGUCAUGAUUUAAUUGUGACGUAAUAAAGGAGCGUUCAGGCGGAAUCAGCCGCCAACAGAAAUAACCCACGUUAGAUCUUAUUAUUUUACAGGGAACGCUCUUGCAAGCUAUUAAAAUGUUUAGGAUGCGUUUCAUUGUUAUCUGUAGAGUAGGUAGCUGUUUUGCUGUAAAGAUAGCCGAUGUGAAGGCAGUUCAUUUUUAUUCAUUUAUUUUUUUGCAACGACUAACUCUGAUUAAAUCGUAGCGAAUGAACGCAAGCGUUCGGUUGUGUUUAACGGGCGACUUUUACGUACCGAAAUCGUGGAGACAGCACUUAUUUCGGUUGUUAAAAAUCGUUAGAUGCGCAGCGCGCUGAAACGCAGUCCUUCGCGUUUUUAAGCAGAAAUAAACCUCACAAUAAACCGUAAAUCCAACAACGUUUUAAAACGUUUUUGCAGUUUCGUAGAAACGAAAAACACAGCCUAAAACAGCCGAAACGCAAAAGAAACUACUGAUCGUCUGCGUGUCUCGAACGUGUCUCUGUCUUUUGUGUGUGAUUAAAAAAAAUGUGCCCAAACUACGAUAAAGACUAAUAUUUUAAACUAUGCCCGAGCUGUUAAAAUUAAUACACUGCAUAGGAAUUUUGCAGAAAUCCUUUUUUUUUUUGAAGAUUUCUAUUUUAACUCUUCGGUUCAUCAAAGUUUUAAAAUGAACGUGAUUGGGUCAGGACUGUUUUAAAAACUAAUUAUAAUUCAAACAUGCGUGCGUUUCGAAUAGGAGAGGUCCUUACCUUAUAAUGAAACCUCAAUUGUAUCGGUCUUUGUGAGAACAAUUGAUGUAGCAGCAGCCUUCGCAUGCAAAACCGAGAAUGGAGCGUUUAAAAAUACCCUCCUCAUCCUCGAUAUUCACCUCUGAUUAUUACCGAAUCGGAUUUUACGCAAUCGGGUUUGCGUUGGCUUCGAUCGGAGAAUUUCGAAGAGACGGAGGAAUUGAACGAAUGCGGCGUUAAACCCAAAGAAAGAAGAAGAGCUGAAUAAACUCUGCGGACUCUAUUGACAACUAUGCGUUUCCUCGGGGGUUCGGCUGGGUGGGGGCGGGCGAGGUGGAGGUAUGGCGGGUCAGAACUGCUCAAUACAUCCAAACAGACCCUCCGAGCCGUGGAUUUGGUAAGAUCUGCGAACCUUCUGCUGCGAGCUCAACGCAUCGGUGGCUUCAGCUGGGAUCUCGUCUCCUAGGGAUGUUGACUAAAUGAUUUCCAGUGCCUUAUCUUAAUUGAAGAUUAAAAUGUUCAUAUUCACUCUGGAGGGAUAGCGUAAAUGCAUAGCUCGCCUGAAGCCCCAAGUGAGAGUUUUUAGGUUUCAUCUCAUUCAGUACGUGCUCUUCUAAGUGAUUUGUUUUUUAAAUGAAGAGCUUAUUAAAGAAAAUGUCGAUUGGUGAACCGUUUAGCAUUUCAAUAGCAACCAGUCCUGAUUUAAAAGACAAUUUCACAUGUGGGAAACGGUCUUCUGGUGAUUGAUUAUGAGUUAGAAUUUGAGGAAUCAGUGUCUAAAAGUUUGGUCUGCUCAUUUAAAAAGAAAACGAGAGAUUAAACUUUUAAAGUCUUUAAAACUCUCGCUAAUAACGAGUUCAGGGUUGUAACAAUUUAACUAGUUAUGCAAUAUUUAUGUUUAGUAUACGUACUACUGUUUAAUCCCCUUAGUGCACCUUUCUGCAAGUACACUGAAUAGAAUUGCAAAGAUAUUGUGUCGUGCAUUUAGUCUUAGUUUUAGUUUAAAAUUUGGGCUGUCGGUCUAUAAUCGAUAGCUACAUCUACGUGGAUUUAUCAAAGUUUUUAGAGUGAUGUUGUUCAGUCCAGCGUUAAACCCAACGGGUCGAAAUCAGAUGAUAUUCGUCUUAAAUAAAAAUAUGAAGUUCGAGUAGCCCGCUUUUCUCCUUUUCUUUUUCUCAACUUCGCAUUCACAAGCGUGCCUUCGCCUCAGAUCAAUAUUUCUCAGUGCUGGCGAUUUAAACGGCUUUUUCGAGUCACGCGGACCCGUUUCGCGUUUCCCAGCAGACACGAACCACCGAGGAACGUCUUUAUUUAUCCGUCUGUCCCGGAGCUCGACUCGAUGCUUGCGGACUUUAACGGGAUCAAACGGGGACAUUUAGGGUGUGUCCAUGACCUCGUGGGACGUGUUUCCCGGAGCUCGCGGGGGCAGUUUUAUGAAUGGUGGAUGGGAAACCCUCGUGCAGGAAAUGAGAAACUCCAUAACAUCUGACACCGGUGACCAGAUCCCCGACCUGCGCCGUAAUAGCACGACCACCAUCCAUCUCUUCCACACACCAGCAAACACACACACACACACACGCACACAGCAUC